GGACUAUGGUGCAGCCAAGGAUGACUUGCCGAUCGACAGAUGCUUCGCUUCCUCCAUCUGAUCGUCAGAUCACUGGAUGCGUGUGCUGAUCGAUCGGCCAUCGGCAAGUUGUCCUUGGCUACACCGUAGCCCCU
RNAcentral lists this microRNA precursor (134 nucleotides) under Setaria italica (foxtail millet). The record is from RNAcentral. RNAcentral also lists the same sequence under 1 other name. Lineage: Eukaryota; Viridiplantae; Streptophyta; Magnoliopsida; Poales; Poaceae.